RNAcentral lists this unclassified non-coding RNA (395 nucleotides) under soil metagenome. Its description in RNAcentral is "partial contains 5.8S ribosomal RNA, internal transcribed spacer 2, and large subunit ribosomal RNA". The stretch from base 1 to 120 matches the Rfam family "5.8S ribosomal RNA", at positions 35 to 154 of the family's 154-position model. The record is from RNAcentral.
GAUGAAGAACGUAGCGAAAUGCGAUAAGUAAUGAGAAUUGCAGAAUUCAGUGAAUCAUCGAAUCUUUGAACGCACCUUGCGCCUUUUGGUAUUCCGAAAGGCACACCUGUUUGAGCGUCAUGAAUACCUCAAUCUCCAUCUUUUCUUCGGAUUGAUGGGUGACUUGGAUGUUGAGCCCUGCUGGUAUGCUAUAUCAGCUGGCUUUAAACUUAUUAGCCGGCUCUGUACUGGAUCGGUUUGACUCGACGUGAUAAUAUUAUCGUUGAGGAUGCAUGUCUCAUGCAGCCGGAAAGUAUCAAAGCAGCUUCUAGCUUGCCUUUAGUGCACUUUUACAUUUUAGACCUCAGAUCAGGUGGGACUACCCGCUGAACUUAAGCAUAUCAAUAAGCGGAGGA